UUCCAUUCAAAUCAUUCAUCAUCUUCUUCAUAAUUUCUGACUGCAAUCAUUCAUCAUACAAUAUAACUGCAAUCGACGUCGAAUCGCAAGAGAGUGGAAGAUGAAAACAAUUUCCAAUGUUACGUCAAACUAGAAGAAAAUUGGAAGAAAAGUCGUUCCAACAUUGUGCGCGGCGGCGACGGUGAGCUCCAUCAAAGGAACCGAAGGCAUUCUCUCUCCUCCUUCAACAACAAGGAGGGAAGAACCCCAAAACCCCAAAUCGAUUUCAAAUCUCUCUUCGCAAAAUACGAAGUCGCUGGUUUUGUGCAGGAUCGAUUUUUGUU
This 323-nucleotide long non-coding RNA is filed under the name Medicago truncatula (barrel medic). Its description in RNAcentral is "long non-coding RNA (MTRU_LNC000260)". Lineage: Eukaryota; Viridiplantae; Streptophyta; Magnoliopsida; Fabales; Fabaceae. The record is from RNAcentral.